This 480-nucleotide ribosomal RNA is filed under the name uncultured marine eukaryote. RNAcentral describes it as "SSU rRNA". It matches the Rfam family "Eukaryotic small subunit ribosomal RNA", at positions 690 to 1171 of the family's 1831-position model. The record is from RNAcentral.
CCUCCGGCCAUCCUUGGGGGAACUGCCAUGGCCUUAAUUGGUUGUGGUAUGGAACCCAUCGUUUACUGUGAAAAAAUUAGAGUGUUUAAAGCAGGCUUAGGCCGUUGAAUACAUUAGCAUGGAAUAAUAAGAUAGGACCUUAUGGACCUCUUGUUGGUUUGCGCCGUAAGGUAAUGAUUAAUAGGGAUAGUUGGGGGUAUUCGUAUUUAAUUGUCAGAGGUGAAAUUCUUGGAUUUAUGAAAGACGAACUUCUGCGAAAGCAUUUACCAAGGAUGUUUUCAUUAAUCAAGAACGAAAGUUAGGGAAUCGAAGAUGAUUAGAUACCAUCGUAGUCUUAACCAUAAACUAUGCCGACUAGGGAUUGGCGGUCGUUAAUUUUAUGACUCCGUCAGCACCUUAUGAGAAAUCAAAGUCUUUGGGUUCCGGGGGGAGUAUGGUCGCAAGGCUGAAACUUAAAGGAAUUGACGGAAGGGCACCACC